AUUGAACGCUGGCGGCAUGCCUUACACAUGCAAGUCGAACGGCAGCAUGGAGAGCUUGCUCUCUGAUGGCGAGUGGCGAACGGGUGAGUAAAGCAUCGGAACGUACCGUGUAGUGGGGGAUAACGUAGCGAAAGUUACGCUAAUACCGCAUACGCACUGAGGUGGAAAGCAGGGGAUCGCAAGACCUUGCGCUAUACGAGCGGCCGAUGUCAGAUUAGCUAGUUGGUAGGGUAAAGGCCUACCAAGGCGACGAUCUGUAGCGGGUCUGAGAGGAUGAUCCGCCACACUGGGACUGAGACACGGCCCCGACUCCUACGGGAGGCAGCAGUGGGGAAUUUUGGACAAUGGGGGCAACCCUGAUCCAGCCAUGCCGCGGGGGUGAAGAAGGCCUUCGGGUUGUAAAGCUCUUUCGGCCGGGAAGAAAUCGCACAGGCUAAUACUCUGUGUGGAUGACGGUACCGGCAUAAGAAGCACCGGCUAACUACGUGCCAGCAGCCGCCGUAA
RNAcentral lists this ribosomal RNA (504 nucleotides) under uncultured bacterium. RNAcentral's name for it is "partial 16S ribosomal RNA". It matches the Rfam family "Bacterial small subunit ribosomal RNA", at positions 30 to 523 of the family's 1533-position model. The record is from RNAcentral.